GAUGAACGCUGACAGAAUGCUUAACACAUGCAAGUCUUUGGCGAAGCUGUGCUUGCACAGCCUAGCCAAGGCGGACGGGUGAGUAACGCGUAAGGAACUUGCCCUGCAGUCAGGGAUAACAGACGGAAACGACUGAUAAGACCUGGUAAAGUCAGGCGGACUCAUGUCCAGCCUGAUGAAAAGAGAUGCUGCAGGAGAGCCUUGCGUCCUAUUAGCUUGUUGGUGGGGUAACGGCCCACCAAGGCGAUGAUAGGUAGCCGGCCUGAGAGGGUGGACGGCCACAAGGGGACUGAGAUACGGCCCUUACUCCUACGGGAGGCAGGAGUGGGGAAUAUUGGAAAAUGGGGGCAACCCUGAUCCAGCAAUUCUGUGUGGAAGAUGAAGGUUUUCGGAUUGUAAAGUGCUUUCAGGAGGGAAGAAAAAAAUGACGGUACCUGCAGAAGAAGCGACGGCUAAAUACGUG
Molecule: ribosomal RNA, 463 nt
Filed under: uncultured bacterium
Lineage: Bacteria
Description: partial 16S ribosomal RNA
Rfam family: Bacterial small subunit ribosomal RNA
Source: RNAcentral